GCGUCGCUAGUGUAAUGGAUAGCACCCAAGAUUCCGGUUCUUGAGAUCCGGGUUCGACUCCCGGGUGACGCAUCA
RNAcentral lists this transfer RNA (75 nucleotides) under Latilactobacillus curvatus. RNAcentral's name for it is "Lactobacillus curvatus tRNA-Arg". It matches the Rfam family "tRNA". Rfam says of the family: Transfer RNA (tRNA) molecules are approximately 80 nucleotides in length. Their secondary structure includes four short double-helical elements and three loops (D, anti-codon, and T loops). Further hydrogen bonds mediate the characteristic L-shaped molecular structure. tRNAs have two regions of fundamental functional importance: the anti-codon, which is responsible for specific mRNA codon recognition, and the 3' end, to which the tRNAs corresponding amino acid is attached (by aminoacyl-tRNA synthetases). tRNAs cope with the degeneracy of the genetic code in two manners: having more than one tRNA (with a specific anti-codon) for a particular amino acid; and 'wobble' base-pairing, i.e. permitting non-standard base-pairing at the 3rd anti-codon position. The record is from RNAcentral. Lineage: Bacteria; Bacillati; Bacillota; Bacilli; Lactobacillales; Lactobacillaceae.